This is a long non-coding RNA of Hydra vulgaris (swiftwater hydra), 243 nucleotides long. RefSeq lists it as uncharacterized. The record is from RefSeq and is a predicted model, not a curated record. NCBI's taxonomy places the organism in Eukaryota, Metazoa, Cnidaria, Hydrozoa, Anthoathecata, Hydridae.
CGCGCUUUCGAGUCAUUGGACUUAGAAGUGUAUCAAAUACGUCCGAAACAUUCAAUUAUAAACAAUAUAAUUAAAACGAAAUUCAUAAAAACGUUUUUUUACUAAUACACUAUAAAUGAAGUUAGCAUAAAAUGAUAUGAUUGAGCUAACAAUUCAAACAUGCGACAUUGUUCAACGAAGUCAUAUAUAAAACUUUGGUGGAAUUAAAGUUUUCCUAAGAUUUAAAAUGAACGAAAUUAAUUA